CCGAUGUAGCUCAGUUGGCCAGAGCACGUGAUUUGUAAUCUCGGGGUCGUGGGUUCGAAUCCCUCCAUCGG
This 71-nucleotide transfer RNA is filed under the name Coprobacter fastidiosus. It matches the Rfam family "tRNA". Rfam says of the family: Transfer RNA (tRNA) molecules are approximately 80 nucleotides in length. The record is from RNAcentral. RNAcentral also lists the same sequence under 3 other names. Lineage: Bacteria; Pseudomonadati; Bacteroidota; Bacteroidia; Bacteroidales; Barnesiellaceae.